Molecule: ribosomal RNA, 200 nt
Filed under: uncultured bacterium
Lineage: Bacteria
Description: partial 16S ribosomal RNA
Rfam family: Bacterial small subunit ribosomal RNA
Source: RNAcentral
AGAGUUUGAUCCUGGCUCAGGACGAACGCUGGCGGCGUGCUUAACACAUGCAAGUCGAACGAGGUCCAUCCGGUGGCAACACCGGUGAAGACCGAGUGGCGAACGGGUGAGUAACACGUGAGCAACCUGCCCCGAAGACCGGGAUACCACCGGGAAACCGGUGCUAAUACCGGAUAUCCCUACCGGGCCGCAUGACCUGG